Molecule: transfer RNA, 73 nt
Filed under: Sphaerodactylus townsendi
Lineage: Eukaryota; Metazoa; Chordata; Lepidosauria; Squamata; Sphaerodactylidae
Description: tRNA-Ala
Source: RNAcentral
GGGGUCCGUGGCUCAGUGGUAAAGCAUCUGCUUAGCAUGUGGAAGGUCCCACGUUCAACCCUGUGCAGCUCCA